This 779-nucleotide non-coding RNA is filed under the name Losaria neptunus. Lineage: Eukaryota; Metazoa; Arthropoda; Insecta; Lepidoptera; Papilionidae. The record is from RNAcentral.
UAAAUAAAUUUUUUAUAGUUUGAUUAUUUUAAUUUAAGUUUAUUUUACAUAUAAAUUAUAGUGUUAAUUUUUAAUUAUUUUAAUAAUUAUUAAAUUAUAUAGUAGUAAUUAAUAUUAAAAAUUUAAGCAAUUAAGAUUUAGUAUUAUUUUUUAUUAUUAACAAAUUUUGUGCCAGCAGUUGCGGUUAAACAAAAGAUAAUUUAAAUUUUAUUAGUUUAUAAUAAAUAUGUUAUUUAAAUAAAAAUAAAAAUGAUUAAUUAAUAAGUGAAAUUUUAAUUAAUUUAAAAAUUUUUUUAUAUGAAUUAAAAAAUUUUAUAAAAAACUAGGAUUAGAUACCCUAUUAUAGAAAAUUAAUUUUUAAAUACUAAAAUAGUAUAUAAUUUUUUAUAAAAACUUAAAUAAUUUGGCGGUAUUUUAGUUCAUUUAGAGGAAUCUGUCUAGUAAUUGAUAAUCCACGAUUUAAUUUACUUAAUUAAUAUAUUUUGUAUAUCGUUGUUAAAAAAAUAUUUUUUAAUAAAAAUAAUAUUUAAAAAUUUAUUUAAUAAAUUAAUUCAGAUCAAGAUGCAGAUUAUAAUUAAGAAUAAGAUGGAUUACAAUAAGAAAAAAUUAAAUGAAUAUUAUUUUGAAAAAAAUAUUUGAAGGUGGAUUUAAAUGUAAUUUUAUUUAAUUAAAUAAAAUGAUUAAAAAUUGGAAUAUGUACAUAUUGCCCGUCGCUUUCAUUUAUAAAUUGAAAUAAGUCGUAACAAAGUAGAGGUACUGGAAAGUGUUUCUAGAAAGAA